UUUCUCACAUUUUGCAGUAGAUGUUUCAUCCAGUUGACUUAUUUGCAAGUGAGACUGCCAAGAAGGGCAAACCUGGGAACAUGAUGGGACCUCUGCUCAUCUGCUUUUACAAGGUGUUCUGCUGUAUGAUGCUUUGGGAUGGGAAGUGAGAAUGCCAAAGGAAAUUCAUGGUCUCAGAGGUUCCUGUCUGGUCAUACCAUGUUCUUUCAGCUACACAUCAUACCCACCCAAAGACCCACGUAGAGUUGUGGGGUACCAGUGGGUCUCUUAUGGUUAUCCAUUAGUUUACGAUCCUUUGCAUGCAAACAAUGUCAUUGAAAAAUUCAAAGGCAGAACUGAUUUAUAUAGAAAAUCAGGUAAUUGCAGUCUGCUGAUUACCGGACUGGAACCAUCCCACCAU
Long non-coding RNA from Cyprinus carpio (common carp), 400 nucleotides. RefSeq lists it as uncharacterized. NCBI's taxonomy places the organism in Eukaryota, Metazoa, Chordata, Actinopteri, Cypriniformes, Cyprinidae. The record is from RefSeq and is a predicted model, not a curated record. The transcript is spliced from 3 exons.